Eptesicus fuscus (big brown bat) is the source of this 731-nucleotide long non-coding RNA. RefSeq lists it as uncharacterized. The record is from RefSeq and is a predicted model, not a curated record. The transcript is spliced from 3 exons. NCBI's taxonomy places the organism in Eukaryota, Metazoa, Chordata, Mammalia, Chiroptera, Vespertilionidae.
AGACUUUUUCCAUCCAGUUGGAGCUGUAUUGACCAAUCAGAGUGGCCCCAUUCUGACCAAUAAGGACAGUGCUCUUUGGACCAACCAAACUGCGAGGAUUUGGAGUCCUCAUCUGCAUGAGGACAGACCAAUCAGGUGGGCCUGGGCCUGGGCCUGGGCCUGCAAAGAUAGUGCUACUGGACUGAACCACAGCAGAGCAGAGCUGUCUAGCUGGAGAGGGACCAGGAUCCGGGAUUUCUCUGCAUAUACUAAGUCCCAGGGUGAGACCUGGCCACACCUACCACUCCUGCCUCUGCCAGGACCUCCCUUCCCGCUUCCUCCAGCCUCCAGGCCUGAGGCUGCUGUGUGGGAACCAGUGUCCACCAGAUGCCCACGUACUCCUCUCGGGUGGCUGUGUGUCUAGGAGCCUGCAGGCAGUGCCUCGUCUCCGUGGCCCUGGUCCACGUGAUGGUGUGGUCCCCACAGAGCACAUCUCACGAGGAGGCAAGAACCCAAGAAGACAUUAACCUCAACAGGAGGCGAGAAUGUGAGGGGAAGUCAGCAGGCUACUUCCUUGGAAUUUCAGGGAGGAAAUCUGAGUCGAUGCCUGAGGGCCUCUAUUUUUGUUGUGUGGUUGUUGAGCAGUAGGGGAAGUUGCCUAGUUUUUAACCUUUUGCACUCGGAUGUCGAGUGUGACUCGACACGGUUAGCAUCGGUAGCAGCUCGUAUGUCGAGCCACACUCGACACGUAG